AACGAACGCUGGCGGCAGGCCUAACACAUGCAAGUCGAACGCUCCGCGAGGGGAGUGGCAGACGGGUGAGUAACACGUGGGAAUCUUCCUAUCGGUACGGAAUAGCUCAGGGAAACUUGGGGUAAUACCGCAUACGCCCUUCGGGGGAAAGAUUUAUCGCCGAUAGAUGAGCCCGCGUCUGAUUAGCUAGUUGGUGAGGUAAUGGCUCACCAAGGCGACGAUCAGUAGCUGGUUUGAGAGAAUGACCAGCCACACUGGAACUGCGACACGGUCCAGACUCCUACGGGAGGCAGCAGUUUGGAAUUUUGGACAAUGGGCGAAAGCCUGAUCCAGCGACGCCGCGUGGACGAUGAAGGCCUUCGGGUUGUAAAGUCCUUUUGCUCGGGAACAAUAUUUUGAGCGUACCGAGAGAAUAAGAGGUUGCUAACUCUGUGCCAGCCGCCGCCGUAA
RNAcentral lists this ribosomal RNA (450 nucleotides) under uncultured bacterium. RNAcentral describes it as "partial 16S ribosomal RNA". It matches the Rfam family "Bacterial small subunit ribosomal RNA", at positions 29 to 523 of the family's 1533-position model. The record is from RNAcentral.